Molecule: microRNA, 21 nt
Filed under: Patiria miniata (bat star)
Lineage: Eukaryota; Metazoa; Echinodermata; Asteroidea; Valvatida; Asterinidae
Description: pmi-miR-2011-5p
Source: miRBase by way of RNAcentral
CAGUCACUAUCACACCUUAGG